Molecule: unclassified non-coding RNA, 265 nt
Filed under: Gamocarpha graminea
Lineage: Eukaryota; Viridiplantae; Streptophyta; Magnoliopsida; Asterales; Calyceraceae
Description: Boopis graminea partial external transcribed spacer
Source: RNAcentral
UUCCUCUUCAACGUCGUCAAUCACGCACCAACAUGUGAACACGCGACCGGCGUCGUUUUUAGAGAAGCGAGAACGCUUAUUUGGGGCAAAAACAGGGCCAUAAAGACCCCAUACCCACAUAAGGUUCCAUAUCCGAGAGACCAAGCAACWCUCCAUGGGCCAUGAAACCAACACUUAUGCACCAGUAGCAUGGAUCACAAAGAAUACUUCAAGGUUCAACCCGCGCCACAAGAGCAACGGGCAAUGAACAAGGACAUUGUUACGG